UCCUGGCUCAGGAUGAACGCUAGCGACAGGCCUAACACAUGCAAGUCGAGGGGCAGCACAAGGAGCAAUCUGAGGUGGCGACCGGCGCACGGGUGAGUAACACGUAUGCAACCUGCCUGUAAGCGGGGAAUAACCCGUUGAAAGACGGACUAAUACCGCAUAAUACUAAAUUACUGCAUGGUAAUUUAUUUAAACAUUUAUGGCUUACAGAUGGGCAUGCGCAUGAUUAGCUAGUUGGAGAGGUAACGGCUCCCCAAGGCAACGAUCAUUAGGGGUUCUGAGAGGAAGGUCCCCCACACUGGUACUGAGACACGGACCAGACUCCUACGGGAGGCAGCAGUGAGGAAUAUUGGUCAAUGGACGAGAGUCUGAACCAGCCAAGUCGCGUGCAGGAAAAGAAUGUCCUAUGGAUUGUAAACUGCUUUUGCAGGGGAAUAAAGUGCAGGACGUGUCCUGUUUUGUAUGUACCCUGAGAAUAAGGAUCGGCUAACUCCGUGCCAGCCGCCGC
Molecule: ribosomal RNA, 508 nt
Filed under: uncultured bacterium
Lineage: Bacteria
Description: bacterial SSU rRNA
Rfam family: Bacterial small subunit ribosomal RNA
Source: RNAcentral